Daphnia pulex (common water flea) is the source of this 896-nucleotide long non-coding RNA. RefSeq lists it as uncharacterized. The transcript has 2 exons. Lineage: Eukaryota; Metazoa; Arthropoda; Branchiopoda; Diplostraca; Daphniidae. The record is from RefSeq and is a predicted model, not a curated record.
CCGAACGACUGCUUGUCACCAUUUGGCAUUUAGGUGAUAUAAUUUAGAGGACAUUAUAAACGAAAUUGCAUCGACAAAAUUUUUAUUUCUCGUCCCUGAAAAAUAUAACUAUUUUCAUUUAAUUUUUUCACAGCAGUUUUUCUUUUAUUUAUUUUUCUUCGCAUUUUCUUUGUUUCUUUUCUUUGUUUCUUUUCACGAAAUGCGCUAUUUCAAGUCUUAUAUUGCCCACGUGAGUCGAUGGUUUUGCGGGCGUUCCUCUUCACGAUCACCCACACAGUGACGUCAACGAACGACGAUGUUCCAUCCGUUGCGAAACAAUAAACCCAGCAGGUUAUGAGGGGGAAUCCGGACUUCCCCUGGUGUGUAGAUGUAGUCCACGUGUUGCUUGUGUUUGGCCAUGCAUUGCAUACACGGAAGAUCAGAGAAUGCUAGUCUAGAACCUUCCAAUCCAAGUUCAAAACGUUGCCACGCUAUAGGCGAAUAGACCAGCGUAAAAAGGUAUAAGCUAAAAAGGAAUGAGUCACAGACCAUGUGGUAGUAGGGACUAGAAGAAGCCAAGCAUAGUUACAAACUUGGUCGUAUCCUAAAUAGCAAGUCAUGGCGAUUCAGCAUUCGCCUUCCAUACCUAUCCUGAAAACCCAAAACAACGCUUAAUCACCGCUUGUACGCAUCCUUGAAAAACUCCAGAUCGAAUCGGGAAAUUGCCGGAACAAUGACUUGCCGAGUUUGAGUAUAGUGCUGUAGAACACUUCUUCCAAGGCUCUUGAUAUCACCUGUCCCCAGCGAACUUCUGCACUUGGCAUAAAUACAUUUUUCUUUUAUAUCAUGCUAUUUGGUUUGAAUCGUAUUCUGAGCAAAAGAAUAAAUAAAAAAUUUGUCAAGUUUGGUAAACCACA